AGAAUCGGAAGAGAUGGAAAUAAACAAUGCUGCUGGAAAAAACGGAAGAGAACAAGCAUAUUCUUCCAGGAGGUGCUGGUUUUGGGGCUGGCGCCGUCUUCCGAGUACACAUUUUUGGUGUAUGCUUCUCCAGUUGGAAACUAUUUCAAGGAAGAGACUGUGCCGAUCAGCUUGUACGUUGAGGAUAAGUUCCAUCGCGCUGGCUGCGGUGGUUCUUGAGGUGUGAAGAGCGUCACGAAUUAUGUGCCGGUGAGGUCAUGAACUGCUAGUAAUCAUGGAGAGCAAGAACUACCAAGCAAGCCACUAUGCCACUCAGGGUGAUGAGCAGACGUUGCUCCAGCGCCUGCAUCAAGAGCUUUACAAUCUCAAGUUUCUAAUCGUGGAUCACGCACGCUUUGCCGGAUAAGGAGAACGACAGUCAGAUUCUUCUCACCACUAGGCUUCGGGAGGUCACUGAUAAAAUUUCUGAAAAAUCUAGUUUACUUCAUGAGAUGCAGCCGCUCGGGCUGGAGCACAGCUGGCAGUUGCUCUGUUAUCUUACCUUCGGUGAUAUGCUGAAAAAUGAUAAUGAUGAUGUUACAUUGCCCUGCCCUCCUCACUUGAAGAAAAUUGAAAGAUC
Molecule: long non-coding RNA, 619 nt
Organism: Salvia splendens (bonfire salvia)
Lineage: Eukaryota; Viridiplantae; Streptophyta; Magnoliopsida; Lamiales; Lamiaceae
Exons: 4
Source: RefSeq, a predicted model, not a curated record